UUCGGCGUGCUUAACACAUGCAAGUCGAACGGAAAGGCCCUGCUUUUGUGGGGUGCUCGAGUGGCGAACGGGUGAGUAACACGUGAGUAACCUGCCCUUGACUUUGGGAUAACUUCAGGAAACUGGGGCUAAUACCGGAUAGGAGCUCCUGCUGCAUGGUGGGGGUUGGAAAGUUUCGGCGGUUGGGGAUGGACUCGCGGCUUAUCAGCUUGUUGGUGGGGUAGUGGCUUACCAAGGCUUUGACGGGUAGCCGGCCUGAGAGGGUGACCGGCCACAUUGGGACUGAGAUACGGCCCAGACUCCUACGGGAGGCAGCAGUGGGGAAUAUUGCACAAUGGGCGGAAGCCUGAUGCAGCAACGCCGCGUGCGGGAUGACGGCCUUCGGGUUGUAAACCGCUUUCGCCUGUGACGAAGCGUGAGUGACGGUAAUGGGUAAAGAAGCACCGGCUAACUACGUGCCAGCAGCCGCGGUGAUACGUAGGGUGCGAGCGUUGUCCGGAUUUAUUGGGCGUAAAGGGCUCGUAGGUGGUUGAUCGCGUCGGAAGUGUAAUCUUGGGGCUUAACCCUGAGCGUGCUUUCGAUACGGGUUGACUUGAGGAAGGUAGGGGAGAAUGGAAUUCCUGGUGGAGCGGUGGAAUGCGCAGAUAUCAGGAGGAACACCAGUGGCGAAGGCGGUUCUCUGGGCCUUUCCUGACGCUGAGGAGCGAAAGCGUGGGGAGCGAACAGGCUUAGAUACCCUGGUAGUCCACGCUGUAAACGGUGGGUACUAGGUGUGGGGUCCAUUCCACGGGUUCCGUGCCGUAGCUAACGCUUUAAGUACGCGAGCGGGCGAGUUCGGCUGCAAGGGUAAUACUCAAAGGAAUUGACGGGGCCUCGCACAAGCGUCGGAGCAUGCGGAUUAAUUCGAUGCAACGCGUAGAACCUUACCUGGGUUGGACAUGGAUCGGGAGUGCUCAGAGAUGGGUGUGCUUGUUUUGGGGUCGGUUCACAGGUGGUGCAUGGCUGUCGUCAGCUCGUGUCGUGAGAUGUUGGGUUAAGUUCCGCAACGAGCGCAACCCUUGUUCAAUGUUGCCAGCUCGUUAUGGUGGGGAUUCAGUGGAGACCGCCGGGGUCAUCUCGGAGGAAGGUGGGGAUGAGGUCAAGUCAUCAUACCCAUUAUGUCCAGGGCUUCACGCAUGCUACAAUGGAUGGUACAGAGAGUGGCGAGCCUGUGAGGGUGAGCGAAUCUGGGAAAGCCGGUGUCAGUUCGGAUUGGGGUCUGCAACUUGCCGUCAUGAAGUCGGAGUCGAUAGUAAUGGCAGAUCAGCAACGAUGCGGUGAAUACGUUCCCGGGUCUUGUACACACCGUCCGUCAAGUCAUGAAAGUUGGUAUCACCCGAAGCCGGUGGCCUAACCGUUGUGGGGGAGCCGUGGAAGGUGGGACUGGUGAUU
RNAcentral lists this ribosomal RNA (1431 nucleotides) under uncultured organism. RNAcentral describes it as "SSU rRNA". It matches the Rfam family "Bacterial small subunit ribosomal RNA". The record is from RNAcentral.